AGUAUGUCUGGGAACUGCCUGAUGGAGGGGGAUAACUACUGGAAACGGUAGCUAAUACCGCAUAACGUCGCAAGACCAAAGAGGGGGACCUUMGGGCCUCUUGCCAUCGGAUGUGCCCAGAUGGGAUUAGCUAGUAGGUGGGGUAAMGGCUCACCUAGGCGACGAUCCCUAGCUGGUCUGAGAGGAUGACCAGCCACACUGGAACUGAGACACGGUCCAGACUCCUACGGGAGGCAGCAGUGGGGAAUAUUGCACAAUGGGCGCAAGCCUGAUGCAGCCAUGCCGCGUGUAUGAAGAAGGCCUUCGGGUUGUAAAGUACUUUCAGCGGGGAGGAAGGGAGUAAAGUUAAUACCUUUGCUCAUUGACGUUACCCGCAGAAGAAGCAC
RNAcentral lists this ribosomal RNA (386 nucleotides) under Escherichia coli. Its description in RNAcentral is "bacterial SSU rRNA". It matches the Rfam family "Bacterial small subunit ribosomal RNA", at positions 109 to 493 of the family's 1533-position model. Lineage: Bacteria; Pseudomonadati; Pseudomonadota; Gammaproteobacteria; Enterobacterales; Enterobacteriaceae. The record is from RNAcentral.